GCUGGGUGUGGUGGUGCACACCUGUGGUCCCAGCUACUCAGGAGGCUGAGAUAGGAGGAUCCCUUGAGCCCAGGAGGCUGUGGCUGCAGUGAUCUAUGAUCUAGUCACUGCACUACAGCCUGGGCAACAGAGUGAGACCCUGUUCCAA
This is a non-coding RNA of Gorilla gorilla gorilla (western lowland gorilla), 148 nucleotides long. It matches the Rfam family "Metazoan signal recognition particle RNA". Rfam says of the family: The signal recognition particle (SRP) is a universally conserved ribonucleoprotein. Lineage: Eukaryota; Metazoa; Chordata; Mammalia; Primates; Hominidae. The record is from Rfam.